RNAcentral lists this ribosomal RNA (253 nucleotides) under uncultured prokaryote. Its description in RNAcentral is "partial 16S ribosomal RNA". It matches the Rfam family "Bacterial small subunit ribosomal RNA", at positions 524 to 776 of the family's 1533-position model. The record is from RNAcentral.
UACGUAGGUGGCAAGCGUUGUUCGGAAUUAUUGGGCGUAAAGGGCGCGUAGGCGGUUUGUUAAGUCGGCUGUGAAAGCCCGGGGCUCAACCCCGGAGGGUCAGCCGAUACUGGCAGACUAGAGUACGGAAGAGGUAGCUGGAAUUCCCGGUGUAGCGGUGAAAUGCGUAGAUAUCGGGAGGAACAUCAGUUGCGAAGGCGGCUCUCUGGACCAGCACUGACACUGAGGCACGAAAGCGUGGGGAGCAAACAGG